GACGUAGGAGGCGAGCGUUGUCCGGAUUCAUUGGGCGUAAAGAGCGCGCAGGCGGCUUGGUAAGUCGGAUGUGAAAUCCCGAGGCUCAACCUCGGGUCUGCAUCCGAUACUGCCCGGCUAGAGGUAGGUAGGGGAGAUCGGAAUUCCUGGUGUAGCGGUGAAAUGCGCAGAUAUCAGGAGGAACACCGGUGGCGAAGGCGGGUCUCUGGGCCGAUACUGACGCUGAGGAGCGAAAGCGUGGGGAGCGAACAGG
RNAcentral lists this ribosomal RNA (253 nucleotides) under uncultured bacterium. Its description in RNAcentral is "partial 16S ribosomal RNA". It matches the Rfam family "Bacterial small subunit ribosomal RNA", at positions 524 to 776 of the family's 1533-position model. The record is from RNAcentral.